AGGGUUCAUAAGAAGAAUUUGACUUCGUGCUUGACUGUAUCCAUCAUUCAAACCCAUCAAAAAUUGUAAUAACCUUUGUCUUACCAAAUUGUUUGCAUAUUCCUUGGAUGUUGGACAAUCACAGCAAGGAGGUGGUGUAAUUGAAUCAAACUCAUCCCAAAGGUCCUUUAACUUCGAGUAAUACACUGCAACAGACGAAACGCCUUGGGAUAGUGUGGCUAUGGACUUAUGAAGGUGGUAGAUUCUCAACAUAUUCACUUUAUCAAAU
RNAcentral lists this long non-coding RNA (268 nucleotides) under Capsicum annuum. RNAcentral's name for it is "long non-coding RNA (CANN_LNC017411)". Lineage: Eukaryota; Viridiplantae; Streptophyta; Magnoliopsida; Solanales; Solanaceae. The record is from RNAcentral.